GAAAUGCAAUAAGUAAUGUGAAUUGCAGAAUUCAGUGAAUCAUCGAAUCUUUGAACGCACCUUGCGCUCCUUGGUAUUCCUUGGAGCAUGCUUGUUUGAGUAUCAUGAAAUCUUCAAAGUAAAUCUUUUGUUAACUCAAUUGGUUUCUACUUUGGUAUUGGAGGUCUUUGCAGCUUCACACCUGCUCCUCUUUGUUCAUUAGCUGGAUCUCAGUGUUAUGCUUGGUUCCACUCGGCGUGAUAAGUUAUCUAUCGCUGAGGACACUGUAAAAGGUGGCCAAGGUAAAUGCAGAUGAACCGCUUCUCAUAGUCCAUUGACUUGGACAAUACUUUUAUGAUCUGAUCUCAAAUCAGGUAGGACUACCCGCUGAACUUAAGC
This 378-nucleotide unclassified non-coding RNA is filed under the name plant metagenome. RNAcentral's name for it is "partial contains 5.8S ribosomal RNA, internal transcribed spacer 2, and large subunit ribosomal RNA". The stretch from base 1 to 105 matches the Rfam family "5.8S ribosomal RNA", at positions 50 to 154 of the family's 154-position model. The record is from RNAcentral.